This 158-nucleotide ribosomal RNA is filed under the name Mycocentrospora sp. Its description in RNAcentral is "5.8S ribosomal RNA". It matches the Rfam family "5.8S ribosomal RNA". From Rfam's summary of the family: 5.8S ribosomal RNA (5.8S rRNA) is a component of the large subunit of the eukaryotic ribosome. It is transcribed by RNA polymerase I as part of the 45S precursor that also contains 18S and 28S rRNA. Lineage: Eukaryota; Fungi; Ascomycota; Dothideomycetes; Pleosporales. The record is from RNAcentral.
CAACUUUCAACAACGGAUCUCUUGGUUCUGGCAUCGAUGAAGAACGCAGCGAAAUGCGAUACGUAGUGUGAAUUGCAGAAUUCAGUGAAUCAUCGAAUCUUUGAACGCACAUUGCACCUCUCGGUAUUCCGGGAGGUAUGCCUGUUCGAGCGUCAUUU